CAGGUACAGCGGGAUGCCAUGGGGCGACCCAGAGCGGAACCCGAAAACCUGUCUCAGUUCGGAUUGGAGUCUGCAACCCGACUCCAUGAAGCUGGAUUCGCUAGCAAUCGCGCAUCAGCCACGGCGCGGUGAAUACGUUCCCGGGCCUUGUACACACCGCCCGUCAAGCCAUGGGAGCCGGGGGUGCCUGAAGGCCGUGACCGCGAGGAGCGGCCUAGGGUAAAACUGGUGACUGGGGCUAAGUCGUAACAAGGUAUC
RNAcentral lists this ribosomal RNA (258 nucleotides) under uncultured bacterium. RNAcentral's name for it is "partial 16S ribosomal RNA". It matches the Rfam family "Bacterial small subunit ribosomal RNA", at positions 1234 to 1500 of the family's 1533-position model. The record is from RNAcentral.